CUCCGGUUUGUCACCGGCAGUCUCCUUAGAGUGCCCACCCGAAGUGCUGGCAACUAAGGACAAGGGUUGCGCUCGUUGCGCCACUUAAGGCAACACCUCACGGCACGAGCUGACGACGGCCAUGCAGCACCUGUGUCCUGGUUCUCUUUCGAGCACCCCCACAUCUCUGCAGGGUUCCAGGCAUGUCAAGGGUAGGUAAGGUUCUUCGCGUUGCGUCGAAUUAAACCACAUGCUCCACCGCUUGUGCGGGCCCCCGUCAAUUCCUUUGAGUUUCAGCCUUGCGGCCGUACUCCCCAGGCGGGGCACUUACUGCGUUAGCGACGGCACCGGGAGGGUCGCUCCCCCCGACGCCUAGUGCCCAUCGUUUACGGCGUGGACUAC
Molecule: unclassified non-coding RNA, 381 nt
Filed under: uncultured bacterium
Lineage: Bacteria
Description: contains 16S-23S intergenic spacer region
Source: RNAcentral